UAUCUCUGUAGAGUCUGCAUAUCAAUAAGCGGAGGAAAAGAAACUAACAAGGAUUCCCUUAGUAACGGCGAGUGAAGCGGGAAGAGCUCAAAUUUGAAAUCUUCAAGGUUCUACCUUGACGAAUUGUAGUUUAAAGAAGUGUUUUCUGUUAGAUGAGUAGCAAAAGUUCCUUGGAAUGGGACAUCAUAGAGGGUGAGAAUCCCGUAUUUGGUUAUUCAUUCUAGCUUUGUGAUACACUUUCAAAGAGUCGGAUUGUUUGGGAAUACAGUCCAAAAUGGGUGGUAAAUUUCAUCUAAAGCUAAAUAUUGGCGAGAGACCGAUAGCGAACAAGUACCGUGAGGGAAAGAUGAAAAGAACUUUGAAAAGAGAGUUAAACAGUACGUGAAAUUGUCAAAAGGGAAGCGUUUGACACCAGUGUUGUUUUUCCGAAAAUCAAUUACGAAUGGCUUGAUUUUGUGUUGUAUUGACCUUAUCAGCUUUUCUUCACUUUUUUCGAGUCUUUCUUAAUGCACUUUUGGUUAACAAGUCAACAUCAAUUUCUUUUGUUGUAAAAGAGUAUUCGGAAGGUGGCUUUCUUUUCGGAGAAAGUGUUUAUAGCCCUAUACUUCUACAAUCGGAGAGAUUGAGGUCUGCAGCGUAGAUCCUUCGGGGUUAGAUACACUUGUGCUAAGUUGUAGCUUUUCAUAGACAACUUGUUGACUAUGUUUAGUCAUGCGGCUUACUCGCUUAUGCUAUUUUACCUACGCUUAGGAUGUUGAACUACUGAGACAUAGA
This 774-nucleotide ribosomal RNA is filed under the name uncultured Neocallimastigales. Its description in RNAcentral is "partial large subunit ribosomal RNA". It matches the Rfam family "Eukaryotic large subunit ribosomal RNA", at positions 24 to 644 of the family's 3401-position model. Lineage: Eukaryota; Fungi; Neocallimastigomycota; Neocallimastigomycetes; Neocallimastigales. The record is from RNAcentral.